RNAcentral lists this ribosomal RNA (253 nucleotides) under uncultured bacterium. RNAcentral's name for it is "partial 16S ribosomal RNA". It matches the Rfam family "Bacterial small subunit ribosomal RNA", at positions 524 to 776 of the family's 1533-position model. The record is from RNAcentral.
UACGAAGGGGGCUAGCGUUGUUCGGAAUUACUGGGCGUAAAGCGCACGUAGGCGGAUUUUUAAGUCAGGGGUGAAAUCCUGGAGCUCAACUCCAGAACUGCCUUUGAUACUGGCGAUCUUGAGUCCGGGAGAGGUGAGUGGAACUGCGAGUGUAGAGGUGAAAUUCGUAGAUAUUCGCAAGAACACCAGUGGCGAAGGCGGCUCACUGGCCCAAUACUGACGCUGAGGCACGAAAGCGUGGGGAGCAAACAGG